Molecule: long non-coding RNA, 1276 nt
Filed under: Ursus maritimus (polar bear)
Lineage: Eukaryota; Metazoa; Chordata; Mammalia; Carnivora; Ursidae
Description: lncRNA (ENSUMAG00000006881.1)
Source: RNAcentral
GCCUGGUGGAAUUUUCUGGGCUGCCCACCGCCAGCAGGGACCCAGACCUCAGUCAUCAUGGCAAACUCCCCUGACACCCUCUCUAUGGCAUCCUGUGUCAGAUUCUGUCUGCCCAUGACCUCAGUCGUGCUUCCGCUGGUAGCCGUGACCAUACCGCGUGGUUUUGCCACUACACAAGGCAGCUCCGGGCUCCUGGCUGGCCAAGCAGAGCCAUCACGUUUCACAUGCUCACCUGAGGAGAAAGAGCUCCAGGAAAAGGGAGGUCUGGCCUCCUGUCCCACCCAGCUCUGUACUCCUCACCCAGGGCCUGCAUAGCCUCAACCUGUGCACCGUCAGCUUUCUAUCCCGUGCCGUGGAUGUGGCCUCCUGGGGGCCCGUCUGUGCCAAGUGGACCUCCUCCCCAAGUCCAGUCUCACAGAGACGACAGAUGGAAAACCACAGUUUAGAAUAAUAAGCCUGAUGAGGAGAAAGCCUGGAAAUGGGGCGGCCUCCCUCUGCCUGGACAAUCGGGGAAGACUGAGGAAGGGAAAGAUCCGUGCCCGUAACGGCCCCUGGAGCCCAGGCUCAGGGCUGCUGCAGGUACUGGAGCACCAUCUCUGAGAUCUGCUCGAAGCUGAACGUGCACUCUGUGAGUAGCUGGCAACACCCUGGGUGUGGGCAGGCACGGCCUGGCAGUCUCAGGCCGGAGGCACUCAUGGUUCUCUCUCUUUUCGCCCUGCAGACACCUGAAGACAUGAAUCUGCGGCUGGAGCUGCAGAAUGAUAGCCUUCUGAUGGCUAACCUGGCUGCCUUCCGGAACAUCUCAAAGGAGAUCGUCAGUGCUUCUAAUGAGUCUUUAUUCAUCAGUAAAAAUCUGGAGGAUCUGGAGAAAUUCCUGCAAACCUUGCCCAUGCCCAUAUCCCAGAGAGAAGUGUACAUCGAAGCAGAAGAUUUUAAUGAGUUCUCGGGGAAGCUGAAAGUCUUUCUGGAAGCCCUGGAUGAGUUCCUGUUGGGCUUACUGAAGUGCCCAGAAACUUUCAAAGCCUCGUGUAGAAAAUCUUAGUCCAGGCCUUUGCAUGCCCAGGGCUCUGAGUUGGGUCUCCAGCCCUCCUCCUUGAUACUCCAGUGAAAGCUCCACUCUGUCACAGAUCACAUUGACAAUCCUAUUUAUGUAACAAUUUAUUUAUUGUCCUCCCUAUUAUGGAGUUAUUUAUUUUAAUAAUGGAGCCCUCUUAGGAGCCUCUGAGCAAAGCUCAGAGAGGAUGUGAAGCCAUUUUCAUUUGUACCUCAGAUUUCA